ACGUAGGGUGCGAGCGUUAAUCGGAAUUACUGGGCGUAAAGCGUGCGCAGGCGGAUUGUUAAGCAAGACGUGAAAUCCCCGGGCUUAACCUGGGAAUGGCGUUUUGAACUGGCAGUCUAGAGUGCGUCAGAGGAGGGUGGAAUUUCACGUGUAGCAGUGAAAUGCGUAGAGAUGUGGAGGAACACCAAUGGCGAAGGCGACUCUUUGGGAUGUCACUGACGCUGAGGCACGAAAGCGUGGGGAGCAAACCG
RNAcentral lists this ribosomal RNA (251 nucleotides) under uncultured prokaryote. RNAcentral describes it as "partial 16S ribosomal RNA". It matches the Rfam family "Bacterial small subunit ribosomal RNA", at positions 525 to 775 of the family's 1533-position model. The record is from RNAcentral.